Molecule: long non-coding RNA, 521 nt
Filed under: Homo sapiens (human)
Lineage: Eukaryota; Metazoa; Chordata; Mammalia; Primates; Hominidae
Description: HSALNT0154678
Source: RNAcentral
UAUUAAGGAUUCCUUAUGCUUUUGGAGGAACGAAAGGAAAGAAGUGUGGAGGUGGAAGAACUCUUGUUCUACUCUGGAGGGAACCAGGGACUAACAUGUCCUGAAUCAAAAACAGGAGUCUGGAAGAAGUGAAAAAAUGAUGGAAUGAGGGGCAGGCUACUGGAACCCACCAGAGAAUCAGAAGAAUGUCUUAAUUAAAGGUUUGAAGCAGAGAGUAAGACAAGAGCAUUGUAUUCCAGAACAACACAAAUUGGAGUGAGAAAUCAAAUGGCAUCGUGCAGGAUGAAGCAACAGACUGGAUCCAGGAUAUCCCUGCUCUGUUACAGACUCCACCACUUAAUAGCUACAUGAUUAUGAGUAAGUCACUCAAUGCCAUUGAACAUCUCUUUCUUCAUGUACAAACUGGGGGUUGUAUUAUUUGCCUUGAUUUUCUUACAAUUCUGCUGAGAGUUAAGACAAGAAGUAAAAUUUUGUACAAAGUAUAAUGAUCUAUACAAAUAAAAGACGUUUCUACAAGUGCU